Molecule: transfer RNA, 67 nt
Filed under: Marmota monax (woodchuck)
Lineage: Eukaryota; Metazoa; Chordata; Mammalia; Rodentia; Sciuridae
Description: tRNA.Ala
Source: RNAcentral
GGUUGUGGCUCAGUGGUUGAGCACUUGCCUAGCAUGUGUAAGGUACUGGGUUCGGUUCUCAGCACCA